Long non-coding RNA from Alexandromys fortis (reed vole), 254 nucleotides. RefSeq lists it as uncharacterized. The record is from RefSeq and is a predicted model, not a curated record. The transcript has 3 exons. NCBI's taxonomy places the organism in Eukaryota, Metazoa, Chordata, Mammalia, Rodentia, Cricetidae.
GGACAGCAAACUGUGGUAGAGGAGCAACUAGAGAGACCUUUGCAGCCCCUCAGGGAGAUGCUUUCUGAAGUCAAGUUUUUGCAAGAAGCUGAAGCAAGUAAAAGAAGACUGUUGUUUGGAGCAUGUGGCUUGGCUAACCCGGAGGCUGACGUUACCAGCAGUCAGAAGUCUAGGAAGACGCCACCUGUUGGACAGAAGAAAACUCAAGGUGGAGUAUCUCUGGUGCCUUGACAACUAUGAUGGAUGGUGUCUUC